Trifolium pratense (red clover) is the source of this 160-nucleotide small nuclear RNA. RefSeq annotates it as U1 spliceosomal RNA. The transcript has a single exon. The record is from RefSeq and is a predicted model, not a curated record. NCBI's taxonomy places the organism in Eukaryota, Viridiplantae, Streptophyta, Magnoliopsida, Fabales, Fabaceae.
UAUCAUACUCGGACGGGGUAAAUGGGCGAUCACUAAGGCCUAUGACCUAGACGAGUGACCAGCAUUGCACUUAGGAGGGUUGCUGGUCUAAGACCCACCCAAAUAGUGGGUCCUACAUCAUAAUUUGUGGUAGUGGGGCCUGCGUUUACGCGGCCCUUUC